CAGAUACAGAGAAGAUUAGCAUGGCCCCUGAGCAAGGAUGACACGCAAAUUCAUGAAGCGCUCCAUAGUUUU
Molecule: small nuclear RNA, 72 nt
Filed under: Vulpes vulpes (red fox)
Lineage: Eukaryota; Metazoa; Chordata; Mammalia; Carnivora; Canidae
Source: RNAcentral